UAAAGAUAAAAUGAGUGAAGAAAAGGGAGAAAAGAAAAAAAAUAAUAAAAGAGAGAGAGAGAGAGACAGAUAAAACGAAGAGAAAGGAAGCACAGGUAACGUCAGCAGGUGUGUGGGUCAGUGAGGGAUAACAUUAACUUCCCUCUUACCUCUCUUACCUGUGUUCUUAUCUUCUCAAGGCCACUGGAGACGCGAGCAAUGGAUUUCGAGUCCCAUUGAAGCUACAGAGGGCCUUCAAAGUUCAUAAGAGACCCUCGCUUGACUAGAAAAGGGAGCAGCUACAUCAGCAUACAUAGUCUCCCCGGAUGCCCAGUCGCCGCCCAGGUGUCGUGAUGAGAGGAGAGUGCUGCGUCAUGUCCCCUCAGUGCUCCUCAUGCCUCGACUAUCUGCCUUGGGUGUCUCCAUUAGCCGUGGGGGGCUCAGGUUAGUCUCGCUGCGUGGGAUCCAGUUACUCGAGAACCAACGAACCAACCAGUGAACGAACCCAACUGAACCGAACCGAAUGUAAUGAAGCUGAACUACUCUAAAGGUAAUGGAGCCAAAUUUUACUUUAUCUGACCUUAACCUGACCCGACCAGACCUUACUGAACUUAAUCUAAUGUAACUUAACCUAACCCUUACUUUACCAUACCGUACCUUGCCAUACCGUACAUUACAUUACCUUACCUUACCUUUCC
Molecule: long non-coding RNA, 677 nt
Organism: Portunus trituberculatus (swimming crab)
Lineage: Eukaryota; Metazoa; Arthropoda; Malacostraca; Decapoda; Portunidae
Exons: 3
Source: RefSeq, a predicted model, not a curated record